This 497-nucleotide ribosomal RNA is filed under the name uncultured bacterium. Its description in RNAcentral is "bacterial SSU rRNA". It matches the Rfam family "Bacterial small subunit ribosomal RNA", at positions 21 to 507 of the family's 1533-position model. The record is from RNAcentral.
GGCUCAGAUUGAACGCUGGCGGCAGGCCUAACACAUGCAAGUCGAAUGGUAACAGGAAACAGCUUGCUGUUUCGCUGACGAGUGGCGGACGGGUGAGUAAUGUCUGGGAAACUGCCUGAUGGAGGGGGAUAACUACUGGAAACGGUAGCUAAUACCGCAUAACGUCGCAAGACCAAAGAGGGGGACCUUCGGGCCUCUUGCCAUCAGAUGUGCCCAGAUGGGAUUAGCUAGUAGGUGGGGUAACGGCUCACCUAGGCGACGAUCCCUAGCUGGUCUGAGAGGAUGACCAGCCACACUGGAACUGAGACACGGUCCAGACUCCUACGGGAGGCAGCAGUGGGGAAUAUUGCACAAUGGGCGCAAGCCUGAUGCAGCCAUGCCGCGUGUAUGAAGAAGGCCUUCGGGUUGUAAAGUACUUUCAGCGGGGAGGAAGGGAGUAAAGUUAAUACCUUUGCUCAUUGACGUUACCCGCAGAAGAAGCACCGGCUAACUCCGUG